GCCACAGCUGAAGGAAAACCACCUGGCUCGUGGCUCCCUAAGGCUCUGUCCUGAUCAUUUCUGAAAAGCCACAGAAGCAAUUUCCCUGUUAACGCUACCAAGGCACAAGCUCUGAUCCGACACUGGUUGCUUGGCAACAGCACAAACACAAUGGAGGAAAGGCGGGAGACCUGCCAUAGGGCGUGGAGACACCAGUGCAUAUCAAGAUGAACUGAAUCAGAUUGGAAACGUGCAUGCAAGCAAACCAGAAGUGAAAUAGUUACCAGGGGAGUUAAAAUCUACUGUAAUUACUCGGUGAACAAGGGUGCAUACAAGCACAGCCUUAUCAUCAGUUAAAAACAUGAGAACAGGCUGGGCACAUCAUCCUUCCAGCUAAAGCAUAGACACAGCCUGCUCUUUCUACCGUUACAAUCAAUUUGUUCCAUCAGGAGCUAGAAAAGCUCCUGUCCUCUGUUUGAAAGAGACACUCAGACAGCCUGGACUGGAUGUUUAUACCACUUUGGAACAGACACUGGAUGCGUUCCAGCUGGGGAAGAUUUCAGACUUCCGAAGCAGCAGGAGCCCAGAGUGGUGGACAUGGUUAUGCUAAUCAUCACAACAACCCUGUGAGGAGAAAAGAAAAGAGAGAAGAAAAGAAAAGAAAAGAAAAGAAAAAGAAAAGAAACACAGGGACAAAGAAAAGAGGAGAUUUGUUUUACAAUGCCAAUGGAGCACACAUUCAGCACCAGGUCUCCCCUGGCACACACAGUGCCAGCACUGGAAAAGCAUCAAGAGCAGGCAGCCCAUGCAGGCUUGGCUGGAGGCACAACGCUCCAUCCAUGCAGCUCAUGCUGCUGCAGAGCACUGAAGACUGCUGAGCAAGGCCAAUGCACAGUCAGGAGGGAGACCCAUGCUUGUCGUAUUUUGCCGUGCAGGAAGCACACAGAUCUCAAAGAUUAAGCUGUGCUCUCUGCUCUAUUGAUAAACAAGCUUAUGGGGCAUAGCUGAAUGGGGCAGUGCAUGGUUGAUUGGGUCAAAAGGACGUGAUCAAUAAGGGCCAAUUAGACCUUUGUGUUCCCCCCUCCUCCUUCUCACAAUUGUCCUUGAUUCCUGAAUGCCUGGGUCUCUGUAAGAGAAAGCAGGAGGAAAGUCCUCCAGGACAAGGGGCUUCAAUAGUUCCUUGAGGGGAAGGGCUGUAGGUUAGUGGUAGAACAGAUGCUUAACAUGCAAAAAGUCCUAAAUUCAAUCCCUGGCAUCUCCAGGUAGGGUGAGGAAACCCAGAGAUCUGAAACCCAGAGAUCUGAAACCCAGAGAUCUGCUUUCAGUCACUGUAGCAGGAAGGACCCAGGGAAGGUCUGACUCAGUAGAAGGCAACUUCCUAUGGUCCCAUGAUUACCGUGCUGGCUUGGGAUAGCUCCACCCGGAUAUUGAUUAGCUGGUUCUGGAGGGAUUCCUUCUUGUGCAGCAGCUUUUCAGGGUAGGCUGGCUGACUCCCAAACAUCUCUAGUUCCUGGUGUGUCCCCAUAAGUGCACUCUCUAGGCUCUCCUAGUGGUGAGAAUAA
Long non-coding RNA from Hemicordylus capensis (graceful crag lizard), 1541 nucleotides. RefSeq lists it as uncharacterized. The record is from RefSeq and is a predicted model, not a curated record. NCBI's taxonomy places the organism in Eukaryota, Metazoa, Chordata, Lepidosauria, Squamata, Cordylidae. The transcript is spliced from 4 exons.